GUGGGGAAUUUUGGACAAUGGGCGAAAGCCUGAUCCAGCCAUGCCGCGUGCAGGAUGAAGGCCUUCGGGUUGUAAACUGCUUUUGUACGGAACGAAAAGACUCCUUCUAAUAAAGGGGGUCCAUGACGGUACCGUAAGAAUAAGCACCGGCUAACUACGUGCCAGCAGCCGCGGUAAUACGUAGGGUGCAAGCGUUAAUCGGAAUUACUGGGCGUAAAGCGUGCGCAGGCGGUUAUAUAAGACAGAGGUGAAAUCCCCGGGCUCAACCUGGGAACUGCCUUUGUGACUGCAAGGCUAGAGUACGGCAGAGGGGGAUGGAAUUCCGCGUGUAGCAGUGAAAUGCGUAGAUAUGCGGAGGAACACCGAUGGCGAAGGCAAUCCCCUGGGCCUGUACUGACGCUCAUGCACGAAAGCGUGGGGAGCAAACAGGAUUAGAAACCCGUGUAGUCC
This 450-nucleotide ribosomal RNA is filed under the name uncultured bacterium. RNAcentral describes it as "partial 16S ribosomal RNA". It matches the Rfam family "Bacterial small subunit ribosomal RNA", at positions 354 to 796 of the family's 1533-position model. The record is from RNAcentral.